RNAcentral lists this ribosomal RNA (497 nucleotides) under uncultured bacterium. RNAcentral's name for it is "partial 16S ribosomal RNA". It matches the Rfam family "Bacterial small subunit ribosomal RNA", at positions 28 to 507 of the family's 1533-position model. The record is from RNAcentral.
GACGAACGCUGGCGGCGUGCCUAAUACAUGCAAGUAGAACGCUGAAGAGAGGAGCUUGCUCUUCUUGGAUGAGUUGCGAACGGGUGAGUAACGCGUAGGUAACCUGCCUUGUAGCGGGGGAUAACUAUUGGAAACGAUAGCUAAUACCGCAUAACAAUGGAUGACCCAUGUCAUUUAUUUGAAAGGGGCAAAUGCUCCACUACAAGAUGGACCUGCGUUGUAUUAGCUAGUAGGUGAGGUAACGGCUCACCUAGGCGACGAUACAUAGCCGACCUGAGAGGGUGAUCGGCCACACUGGGACUGAGACACGGCCCAGACUCCUACGGGAGGCAGCAGUAGGGAAUCUUCGGCAAUGGAGGCAACCCUGACCGAGCAACGCCGCGUGAGUGAAGAAGGUUUUCGGAUCGUAAAGCUCUGUUGUAAGUCAAGAACGAGUGUGAGAGUGGAAAGUUCACACUGUGACGGUAGCUUACCAGAAAGGGACGGCUAACUACGUG